UUCCUUUAUUUUGUUCCUCUUACUUGGUUACUUGGGAGAUACCUAUGUUCCUGCCUACUUCUCAGAAACUAUCCCUGCAAUAGAAACAACAUCCCAGCACCUGAGUUUGGACUUGAUGCACUUAACCAGCUUUCUUAGCACAAACAGAUGGCGGCCAUCUUAAUAUAGUGUCAUCCCCCUACACCACUGAUCUCAUCUGACCCUUUCUCUUAAGGAUUUGUGUUCCUCUGUAAGACUGGAAUAUUGUCUCAGACGACUAAUGCUCCCGGGACUGUGUUGUUGGUUUAGGAAUGACUUUCUUUGUAAGAACGUUGGGGACCACUGGGAAGUGCAGGCAAAUUUCAACAAAAAAUAAAACAAAUAUUGAAAAAAUGAAUUGAGAUCAAUUUAGUCAGUCUUUGGACUAAGUGGUUCUGGCAGACAGCAUCUAGCCUCCAGAGGAGCCCUAGUGGGCAACCACUGCAUUGCACAUCGGCGAUCCUUGAUAAGCAUAUUGUAGGCUACUAAAUUAUUUUCAAUUACAUAUCCGUUAGCAUUUCUUUUGACCCAAAUGAAAUGUGCUCAGUAUGGUUGGACUAGAUUCAAUAUUAAAAUGGAGUACCACCAGAUUUAGUAUUAAUAUGUGAUGCAUAAUUUGUUCUAAAGCAAACAUGAAUAUAUUCCAGAGGAAUCUUCCAGUCGCUAUGCCUCGGAGGGGUAAUGAUCCUGCUGUCUCUGCCUCUGCAGAGAGCUGCUAUGGUGCCAUUAGAGAUGCAGCACAAAAGCUAAUAGCACACAUGGGUGCUUAGCCUAGCAUGCCCGUCCCUCCUAGCAUGCCUGUCUGGCUCCUAGCAUGCCCCUCUCCCUCCUAGCGUGCCCGUCGCCCAUAGGUUUUAGCCUUCUCCUAGCAUGCCCGUCGCCCAUAGGUUUUAGCCUUCUCCUAGCAUGCCCGUCGCCCAUAGGUUUUAGCCUCCCUCCUAGCGUGCCCGUCUCCCAUGCUCGAGUCCAGCUAGUCCAGAGUGGAACUGUGCCUGUCUCACUCCAGGCUAAACUAGCAUGACACUCUCUCCCAUUGUAAAUCAAAUCAAACUUAUUUAUACGGCGCAUUUCAUACCAAAGGGCAACACAACGCGCUUCUAGGUCUACUGACUCUGUGGAAGUUCCUCUGAAAUGUGGAAGCUUGUGUCAUAACACUCUUGAAUGGCCUCUGGAGGCAUUGGCUCUUACCUGCUAGUUGACAUUUGUAAAUAAGUAGCCAGCACUAAGCUACCUUAACUUAAAUUUCAUACUUUGCUUGAUAAUGGUGAAACAUGAUUAAGCCAUGUUUUGCUUAUUGAUCAAUAAAAGAAAAAAAAACAGUAGUCAAAAGUAGAGGUGCCUGAUGAACAUAGUGGGGCAGCCAAACUGCAAAUGCAGAGUUGUGUCCUUCAUCCACAUAGUACGCACAGAAAAAAGUUGCACAUAGUAGUUUAGAUAACUGUGUCAUAAAAUAUACGCUUGUAAAAUAAAAUGAGACCUUUGUUAGAUUGUCACAAAUUAUUAUGAGGCAAAUGUUUAGACUUUUAAAUGGGACAUAAUUAACAUUUUUUUUUAUGUUUAGUAGUGAUACCUUCCCAUUUUUACAUUGUAGAUGCUUUAUAACAUUAUUAUUGACCCAAACUGCUGUGUAUGAAAUGUACCAACCCUUAAGGUGCCAUAUUAGGUAGUUGCAUGUUUCAUAUCACCACCGAAACCCAUCAAAGCCUUGCCUUUCUGUGCAUCACUAACUUUCUUUAGUCCCAUUCUCCUGGUCGUUGGGUCUUUCUAAACUGCUGUUCUUUUCGCAGUGGGGCUGUCAAGGCUUUUACUUAUUUCAGUCCCAUUUUUCCUGGUCUUUGGGUCUUUCUAAACUACUGUUUCGGGCUCUUCGCAGUGGGGCUGUCAACGCUUUUAGAGCAGCUGCUCCAACCCUAUGACACCUCCCUCCAAACCCCUCUGUCAGCUCUCUCUUACUGCUGUUGUCUGUUCAUGUUGUUAAAAUGGUUGUCCACCCGCUG
This is a long non-coding RNA of Clupea harengus (Atlantic herring), 2015 nucleotides long. NCBI's taxonomy places the organism in Eukaryota, Metazoa, Chordata, Actinopteri, Clupeiformes, Clupeidae. The record is from Ensembl.